UGAGGAAUAUUGGUCAAUGGACGAGAGUCUGAACCAGCCAAGUAGCGCGCAGGAUGACGGCCCUAUGGGUUGUAAACUGCUUUUGUUUGGGAAUAAUCGACAUUACGUGUAAUGUUUUGCAUGUACCAUUCGAAUAAGGACCGGCUAAUUCCGUGCCAGCAGCCGCGGUAAUACGGAAGGUCCAGGCGUUAUCCGGAUUUAUUGGGUUUAAAGGGAGUGUAGGCGGUUGGUUAAGCGUGUUGUGAAAUGUAGAUGCUCAACAUCUGACUUGCAGCGCGAACUGGCUGACUUGAGUACACACAACGUAGGCGGAAUUCAUGGUGUAGCGGUGAAAUGCUUAGAUAUCAUGAAGAACUCCGAUUGCGAAGGCAGCUUACGGGAGUGUUACUGACGCUUAAGCUCGAAGGUGCGGGUAUCGAACAGG
RNAcentral lists this ribosomal RNA (424 nucleotides) under Verrucomicrobiota bacterium. RNAcentral describes it as "Verrucomicrobia bacterium partial 16S ribosomal RNA". It matches the Rfam family "Bacterial small subunit ribosomal RNA", at positions 355 to 776 of the family's 1533-position model. The record is from RNAcentral. Lineage: Bacteria; Pseudomonadati; Verrucomicrobiota.